Molecule: ribosomal RNA, 439 nt
Filed under: uncultured bacterium
Lineage: Bacteria
Description: partial 16S ribosomal RNA
Rfam family: Bacterial small subunit ribosomal RNA
Source: RNAcentral
CCUACGGGAGGCAGCAGUGGGGAAUAUUGCACAAUGGGCGAAAGCCUGAUGCAGCAACGCCGCGUGAGCGAUGAAGGCCUUCGGGUUGUAAAGCUCUGUUCUUAAGGAAGAUAAUGACGGUACUUGUGGAGGAAGCCCCGGCUAACUACGUGCCAGCAGCCGCGGUAAUACGUAGGGGGCUAGCGUUAUCCGGAAUUACUGGGCGUAAAGGGUGCGUAGGUGGUUUCUUAAGUCAGAGGUAAAAGGCUACGGCUCAACCGUAGUAAGCCUUUGAAACUGGGGAACUUGAGUGUAGGAGAGGUGAGUGGAAUUCGUGGUGUAGCGGUGAAAUGCGUAGAUAUUAGGAAGAACACCAGUUGCGAAGGCAGCUCUCUGGACUGUAACUGACGCUGAGGCACGAAAGCGUGGGGAGCAAACAGGAUUAGAUACCCCGGUAGUC